Molecule: ribosomal RNA, 137 nt
Filed under: uncultured eukaryote
Lineage: Eukaryota
Description: partial 18S ribosomal RNA
Rfam family: Eukaryotic small subunit ribosomal RNA
Source: RNAcentral
UCGUGGAGUGAUUUGUCUGCUUAAUUGCGAUAACGAACGAGACCUUAACCUACUAAAUAGCCAGGCUAGCUUUGGCUGGUCGCCGGCUUCUUAGAGGGACUUUCGGCUCAAGCCGAAGGAAGUUUGAGGCAAUAACA